GAUGAACGCUGGCGGCGUGCCUAAUACAUGCAAGUCGAGCGAACAGACGAGGAGCUUGCUCCUCUGACGUUAGCGGCGGACGGGUGAGUAACACGUGGAUAACCUACCUAUAAGACUGGGAUAACUUCGGGAAACCGGAGCUAAUACCGGAUAAUAUAUUGAACCGCAUGGUUCAAUAGUGAAAGACGGUUUUGCUGUCACUUAUAGUUGGAUCCGCGCCGCAUUAGCUAGUUGGUAAGGUAACGGCUUACCAAGGCAACGAUGCGUAGCCGACCUGAGAGGGUGAUCGGCCACACUGGAACUGAGACACGGUCCAGACUCCUACGGGAGGCAGCAGUAGGGAAUCUUCCGCAAUGGGCGAAAGCCUGACGGAGCAACGCCGCGUGAGUGAUGAAGGUCUUCGGAUCGUAAAACUCUGUUAUUAGGGAAGAACAAAUGUGUAAGUAACUAUGCACGUCUUGACGGUACCUAAUCAGAAAGCCACGGCUAACUACGU
RNAcentral lists this ribosomal RNA (496 nucleotides) under uncultured bacterium. RNAcentral describes it as "partial 16S ribosomal RNA". It matches the Rfam family "Bacterial small subunit ribosomal RNA", at positions 28 to 506 of the family's 1533-position model. The record is from RNAcentral.